This 352-nucleotide ribosomal RNA is filed under the name uncultured bacterium. RNAcentral describes it as "bacterial SSU rRNA". It matches the Rfam family "Bacterial small subunit ribosomal RNA", at positions 8 to 353 of the family's 1533-position model. The record is from RNAcentral.
AGAGUUUGAUCAUGGCUCAGGACGAACGCUGGCGGCGUGCCUAACACAUGCAAGUCGAGCGGAGACAGUGAGUAGCUUGCUAUGAACNGUUUUAGCGGCGGACGGGUGAGUAACGCGUGAGCAACUUUCCCAGACAGGGGAAUAACACACCGAAAGGUGUACUAAUACCGCAUAAGACCACGGGAUCACAUGGUUCUGGGGUAAAAGAUUUAUCGGUUUGGGGUGGGCUCGCGUCCGAUUAGGUAGUUGGUGAGGUAACGGCCCACCAAGCCGACGAUCGGUAGCCGACCUGAGAGGGUGAUCCGGCCACAUUGGGACUGAGACACGGCCCAAACUCCUACGGGGGGCAGCA